GAAACUUUGUCAACUAGCAGUGCUUUUCUUCUGUAUUGAUCUGCAGUCAUGUAAUCCAGCUAUGACAUUCAAGGUAAUAGUGCCUUGGAAGUCACUCAAAAAGAAAUGCUCCACAUUCUCUGUGUGGAGAACUUUACAUGUUUUACCUUGUCCUCAUUACUUCAUAGCACUUGUGUGCAUUACUGAAAUACUGCGUACCUGACUGAAGGACUGCAAAACAUUCCAGGAAACAGAAUGUGUGAUGGCCUUGAAACAUGAAAAUGAGAGUACGUAUCCACACAUUUGAGAUGUGACCAUACAUUGGAGUUCCAAGCCAAAAGCCUCUCCGUCUUCUUUUGAAUAACAAAUCCCAGAGAUCCCCCUAUGUCAGAAAUUAGCUACUCUCAAGGUUAAUCCUUCUCAAUGGUCAUACAGUGGUAGGCAUGGAGAAGACAGCAGGAAUUGCCUUCUGUUCAGCAACCAGACACCACCCCCUGCAACGUUUCCGCGCUGCCUUUCCCAAGCCCCCCACGGCUGGACCAAGGCAGUGGCCAAGCCCACCUUUCAGAUUGCCAUCCAGAGACUUGGACUUAAAGUGUGAGGUCUGUCUUCACAGCCAACUUCACGCUGUGUGAAGUUCCUAUGCCAUGAAAACUGAGGUUGAAAAAUCAUUAAUAAAACGGAUAUCAUAUGGAAACGGGUUUAAGAAAUUCUGAAAGUUAAUUUUCUCCACUUUUAGAUAAUCAGUCCCAAAUGCAUGCUGUGCUAUAGAAAAAAAUCUGCUAAAAUAAAAAAGGAACCACAUUAAAUAAGAUGUGAUUAAACAGAUUAAAAAAACAUUCACUGAAGUUCAUUUUUGUAAAGGAGAAAAAAUUUAUGUCUCAGCUUCUGUAAAUUGGACUCUCAGCAUUUAAAAAUCUUUCUUUGCUUGUAAUAAAGACAUACAAUAAGACUGGAAAUGGAAAA
Molecule: long non-coding RNA, 945 nt
Organism: Grus americana (Whooping crane)
Lineage: Eukaryota; Metazoa; Chordata; Aves; Gruiformes; Gruidae
Exons: 2
Source: RefSeq, a predicted model, not a curated record